CCUACGGGAGGCAGCAGUAGGGAAUCUUCGGCAAUGGACGGAAGUCUGACCGAGCAACGCCGCGUGAGUGAAGAAGGUUUUCGGAUCGUAAAGCUGCGGUUGUUAGAGAAGAAUGAUGGUGGGAGUGGAAAAUCCACCAUGUGACGGUAACUAACCAGAAAGGGACGGCUAACUACGUGCCAGCAGCCGCGGUAAU
This 196-nucleotide ribosomal RNA is filed under the name uncultured Streptococcus sp. Its description in RNAcentral is "partial 16S ribosomal RNA". It matches the Rfam family "Bacterial small subunit ribosomal RNA", at positions 338 to 524 of the family's 1533-position model. The record is from RNAcentral. Lineage: Bacteria; Bacillati; Bacillota; Bacilli; Lactobacillales; Streptococcaceae.